RNAcentral lists this long non-coding RNA (280 nucleotides) under Ananas comosus (pineapple). RNAcentral describes it as "long non-coding RNA (ACOM_LNC001782)". Lineage: Eukaryota; Viridiplantae; Streptophyta; Magnoliopsida; Poales; Bromeliaceae. The record is from RNAcentral.
UGUAAGAUUGGGUAAAUCCAGGAGACUAUGGCCAAUCUUGCGCAAGUCAGUUAGUUGGUUCGUGGAAGUCGCGAUUUCACAAGCCAUGUCCCUCCAAAAGUGUCACGUGAUGGUUGCACUAUUGCAGGGCACAGUAUUAACUCCCAUGGGUUGGACGGCGUAGUGAGCUGCAAGGCUCACUAGUGUCUCCCCAUAAGGUUACGGUAUGCAAGCUAGGGCCGAACCGCAAGGUUUGCCAUUUAAGAUAUGUAAGUGUAAUUAUGUCAUAGUAAGAACUUGA